GACGAACCGUGCGAACGUUGUUCGGAAUCACUGGGCUUAAAGGGCGCGUAGGCGGCCUGCCGAGUCCGGGGUGAAAGCCCCCGGCCCAACCGGGGAAGUGCCUGGGAUACUGGCGGGCUCGAGGGGGGUAGGGGCGGGCGGAACUUCCGGUGGAGCGGUGAAAUGCGUUGAUAUCGGAAGGAACGCCGGCGGCGAAAGCGGCCCGCUGGACCCUCUCUGACGCUGAGGCGCGAAAGCCAGGGGAGCAAACGGGAUUAGAUACCCCAGUAGUCC
RNAcentral lists this ribosomal RNA (273 nucleotides) under uncultured bacterium. RNAcentral describes it as "partial 16S ribosomal RNA". It matches the Rfam family "Bacterial small subunit ribosomal RNA", at positions 524 to 796 of the family's 1533-position model. The record is from RNAcentral.